AGGACGAACGCUGGCGGCGCGCUUAACACAUGCAAGUCGAGCGAGAACCAGGCCUUCGGGCCUGGGGAAAGCGGCGAACGGGUGAGUAACACGUGGGUAACCCACCCUUGGUACCGGGAUAGCCCGAGGAAACUCGGAUUAAUACCGGAUGGCCCAACAGCUUCUCGGAGCGGUUGGAAAAGGUAGCUUCGGCCUCCGACCAAGGACGGGCCCGCGGUGGAUUAGCUUGUUGGUGAGGUAACGGCUCACCAAGGCUUCGAUCCAUAGCUGGUCUGAGAGGACGAUCAGCCACACUGGGACUGAGACACGGCCCAGACUCCUACGGGAGGCAGCAGUGGGGAAUCUUGCGCAAUGGGCGAAAGCCUGACGCAGCGACGCCGCGUGGGGGAAGAAGGCUUUCGGGUGUAAACCCCUUUCAGGAAGGACGAAGCCACUCGGGUUAAUAGCCCAGAGGGUGACGGUACUUCCAGAAGAAGCCCCGGCUAACUACGCGCCAGCAGCCGCGGUAA
Molecule: ribosomal RNA, 509 nt
Filed under: uncultured bacterium
Lineage: Bacteria
Description: SSU rRNA
Rfam family: Bacterial small subunit ribosomal RNA
Source: RNAcentral